This 512-nucleotide long non-coding RNA is filed under the name Apteryx rowi (Okarito brown kiwi). Its description in RNAcentral is "lncRNA (ENSARWG00000009817.1)". Lineage: Eukaryota; Metazoa; Chordata; Aves; Apterygiformes; Apterygidae. The record is from RNAcentral.
AGAAACUCCAACCUCAGUUUUUCCCCGUAGCGUCGGUGAUGGCGGCAAACAGACCAUCUGAAUCGGGAAUAAAACGCUGCCUCAUUAGGUGCCUUUGCGCUUUCAUUCCUGAACCUGGGACUCGCAUCCGGGCUCGUCCGGCGAACGCUUGCUCUCCUGUCUGAAGGCGCCGACACCAAAGCCCAGCGCUGCGCCUCUUCGCCGCCGCUCCGYGGGAUGGGUCUGCGCAGGUUGCACCGCUAAUCCCACCCAAGACGCCGUGCUGGGGAUCCCACCACCCUCGCCCAUCCCCGAGGAGCAGAAAGCGCCUCUUUGCCCACGUGGAACGGCGCUGCGUCACCCUCUGUCUCUUGUGGGCGCUGCGAAAAUACCGUCGACCAGCUUGUGCCGGCAUCGGCUCCAGGGUCACCUGCAAGAGGAGGAGCUUGUGACUGAUACCCGGAAGUUUUGCUUUUCUGGCAGAGGGAAGGUGUUUGCAGGACAGCCGGCUCCCCGAGCACCCUCGAAAAAGU